CCUACGGGAGGCAGCAGUGGGGAAUCUUGCGCAAUGGGCGAAAGCCUGACGCAGCCAUGCCGCGUGAAUGAUGAAGGUCUUAGGAUUGUAAAAUUCUUUCAGUAGGGACGAUAAUGACGGUACCUACAGAAGAAGCCCCGGCUAACUUCGUGCCAGCAGCCGCGGUAAUACGAAGGGGGCUAGCGUUGCUCGGAAUUACUGGGCGUAAAGGGAGCGUAGGCGGGUUAUCAAGUUGGAGGUGAAAGCCCAGGGCUCAACCUUGGAAUUGCCUUCAAAACUGAUAGCCUAGAGUAUGAUAGAGGUAUGUGGAACUCCGAGUGUAGAGGUGAAAUUCGUAGAUAUUCGGAAGAACACCAGUGGCGAAGGCGACAUACUGGGUCAUGACUGACGCUGAGGCUCGAAAGCGUGGGGAGCAAACAGGAUUAGAUACCCUGGUAGUCCACGCUGUAAACGAUGAUUGCUAGUUGUCGGACGGCAUGCCGUUCGGUGACGCAGCUAACGCAUUAAGCAAUCCGCCUGGGGAUACGGUCGCAAGAUUAAAAACUCAAAAGAGUAAGUACGGACGNGAGAGACGCGACGACGACGACGACGGAGGAGGAG
RNAcentral lists this ribosomal RNA (600 nucleotides) under uncultured bacterium. RNAcentral describes it as "bacterial SSU rRNA". It matches the Rfam family "Bacterial small subunit ribosomal RNA", at positions 338 to 955 of the family's 1533-position model. The record is from RNAcentral.